Long non-coding RNA from Heterocephalus glaber (naked mole-rat), 1041 nucleotides. NCBI's taxonomy places the organism in Eukaryota, Metazoa, Chordata, Mammalia, Rodentia, Bathyergidae. The record is from Ensembl.
CCAACUUGCCAUUGUUCUUUUAUAAUCAGACCCACAAGGACAAAUAAUCUUGUGCUAAGUAAGUAUUCAUCUUUUGGAAUUCCAAAUUGUAGAUGUCUUCAUACUUUGACAUUAAAAUAGCAUCACUAAAGGUCUUGGGUCUUGUGCACCCCUUUAUCUCAAAUACUACACAUGUACUACCAACAAGAUAUGAAAUAAAUUCUUAUUGACUUGAAUAGAAAUUUAACAUUUUCAUUUCCUUUGAGAAGCAAAACUCUGGAUGAAUUUCAAACAUUCCCUCUAAUUUUAUCUGUUUCAAUGUCCAGAAAUGGGAAGGGAAAUUACAAAUUUUUAUAGUUGGCAGUAUGAAUCCUAAUUUUACAGAAAUGAAGCAGAGGUGUGGACAGGUGUCAUGACUUCCCUGCCCAAACACUGCAGAUGCAAGAGGCUACAAAGUGAACCCCUGCACUGGGGCUCUCACUGGGUGUGAUAUGCAUGGCCCCAUUUACCCAGAUCUGCUCUCCUUCAUAUCCAUAAUCAGAUCCAUUCCAGAGCAUCAUCCCAAGCAGUGGACUGACCCGUACUGCAGUAGGAAUCCAAGACAAGACUCCAGUCUUCUCUCUACCACCAAGGCAGAAUGGAUCCUGCACAGAAUGCCACAGUGUAUUUUUGUUCCUUGACUGUUUAACAUAGGGCCCACAAUAAACACUCAAUAACAGUUACUAAAUGUUUUUAAAAUGUAUUUAACAAUAAUAUCUGGAAACAAGAUGUGUAUGUGUACAGACAGCUAUUUCUGAUCUACUCCUGAAAAAAAGAUGUCUUUUUCAAGACAGCCUUAAAAUGAAGUAUUUGUAUGACAGUACAAAGAUUUGUCUUGAAACAUUUCAUAAAUAUUUAAUAUUUUGUUUUACAAAUGUAUGGUUUCUUGGGUCACUUAGUUGUUAGUUGGUUUAAACUAAUGUAAUAGCAGCUUCAAACUCAAGGUUUAAAAAGGGAAAGGAAGUACAUGGCCCCUCUUUUGCUGCUUUGCUUGAAAUUUUAUUUUAUUUUAUUUAUUUUUGG